UUGAAAGUAAAAGGUUCGUACAAGGUUUCCGUAGGUGAACCUGCGGAAGGAUCAUUAAUGGUGCUUGCAGAAAUGCUUGCACGGCGGCGGCCUUAAAACGCGCCAAAUGGCACCCUUUGUUUAUGAGUACCGUUCGUUUCCUCGGUGGGCUUGCCUGCCACGAGGACCAACAAAAACCUUUGUAGUAGCAGUAUCUUCAGUAAAAACAAAUAUUAAAACUUUCAACAACGGAUCUCUUGGUUCUGGCAUCGAUGAAGAACGCAGCGAAAUGCGAUAAGUAGUGUGAAUUGCAGAAUUCAGUGAAUCAUCGAAUCUUUGAACGCACAUUGCGCCCUUCGGUAUUCCGUUGGGCAUGCCUGUUCGAGCGUCAUUUAAUCAUUCAAGCUCUGCUUGGUGUUGGGUGUUUGUUCCGCCUCAGCGCGUGGACUCGCCUUAAAUUCAUUGGCAGCCGGUAUGUUGGCUUCGUGCGCAGCACAUUGCGUCGCGAUUCUGGCAGGCCUCCUCCCAUUAAGCUUCUUUUAAGUUUGACCUCGGAUCAGGUAGGGAUACCCGCUGAACUUAAGCAUAUCAAUAA
Molecule: ribosomal RNA, 574 nt
Filed under: Pleotrichocladium opacum
Lineage: Eukaryota; Fungi; Ascomycota; Dothideomycetes; Pleosporales; Melanommataceae
Description: eukaryotic LSU rRNA
Rfam family: 5.8S ribosomal RNA (bases 217-370)
Source: RNAcentral